Molecule: ribosomal RNA, 734 nt
Filed under: Salmonella enterica subsp. enterica serovar Mbandaka
Lineage: Bacteria; Pseudomonadati; Pseudomonadota; Gammaproteobacteria; Enterobacterales; Enterobacteriaceae
Description: partial 23S ribosomal RNA
Rfam family: Bacterial large subunit ribosomal RNA
Source: RNAcentral
CCGUGUACGUACAAGCAGUGGGAGCCCCACCACUAAGCCAGUGGUGAACUCCACAUACGCAUCCUUUGCUGAGGAUACGGUUAACGGAGCGAAAGCGACGUUCAACCUCAAAAGAAGCAGAGGGGGCUUAGUGGUGGGGUGACUGCGUACCUUUUGUAUAAUGGGUCAGCGACUUAUAUUCUGUAGCAAGGUUAACCGAAUAGGGGAGCCGGAGGGAAACCGAGUCUUAACCGGGCGUUAAGUUGCAGGGUAUAGACCCGAAACCCGGUGAUCUAGCCAUGGGCAGGUUGAAGGUUGGGUAACACUAACUGGAGGACCGAACCGACUAAUGUUGAAAAAUUAGCGGAUGACCUGUGGCUGGGGGUGAAAGGCCAAUCAAACCGGGAGAUAGCUGGUUCUCCCCGAAAGCUAUUUAGGUAGCGCCUCGUGAAUUCAUCUCCGGGGGUAGAGCACUGUUUCGGCUAGGGGGCCAUCCCGGCUUACCAACCCGAUGCAAACUGCGAAUACCGGAGAAUGUUAUCACGGGAGACACACGGCGGGUGCUAACGUCCGUCGUGAAGAGGGAAACAACCCAGACCGCCAGCUAAGGUCCCAAAGUCAUGGUUAAGUGGGAAACGAUGUGGGAAGGCCCAGACAGCCAGGAUGUUGGCUUAGAAGCAGCCAUCAUUUAAAGAAAGCGUAAUAGCUCACUGGUCGAGUCGGCCUGCGCGGAAGAUGUAACGGGGCUAAACCAU